AUAGCACAUCCACGGACUGAAAAUCCUUGUGUCGGCGGUUCGAUUCCGCCUCUCGCCA
RNAcentral lists this transfer RNA (58 nucleotides) under Puniceicoccales bacterium. RNAcentral describes it as "tRNA-OTHER". Lineage: Bacteria; Pseudomonadati; Verrucomicrobiota; Opitutia; Puniceicoccales. The record is from RNAcentral.